CCGGGUCCCCCUCGAUGUCCACCUCCAGGUCCAGCUCCUCCGCCGCCGCCAUGACAGGGCUCCGCGGUCUCGCGGGAAGCGGCGGGAAGCGGCGGGGCCUGGCGGCGGCCCCAGCCAGCCUGCGCCCUGAGCAGACGUCGUGUGGAGGCGGAGAGAUGGCGUGAGGUGUGGCCGAUGCUCAGAGAAACGGAGAACUGGGCAAAGUUCCCAUCCUGUGGAGCUUACAGUUGGAAAAAUCCUCUCCACACAAAAAGGCUGGCAGAAUAACAGUUGAUCCACAGUGGGAGCCCAGAGAGUGAAGGAUGCUUAAUCAAAAGGAGGGCUGAAGAGCUCAGAAGCAGAGAGUUGAGUCUGCAGCCAAGCACGAGGAGUACAGUUGGCCCCCUUCAGAUCCCAGAAGGCCACAAGAAGGUCGUCUGGGAGCCUCUUCUUCUGCUGACUGAACAGCCCCAACUCUUUCAGUCUGUCCUCACAGCAAAGCUACUGCAGCCCUCUGAGCAUCCUCGUGACCCUUCUUGGGACACACUCUGGCAUCUCCACAUCCCUCUUGUACUGGGGGUUCAGAACUGGAUGCAGUACUCCAGGCACAAGGCAAGCACAGGAGAAUUCCUAGUGUGGUCAGACAAAAAGAAGAGUCUGGUUCCAUCCUCAGAUCUUCAGAAC
Long non-coding RNA from Pogoniulus pusillus (Red-fronted tinkerbird), 663 nucleotides. RefSeq lists it as uncharacterized. The record is from RefSeq and is a predicted model, not a curated record. NCBI's taxonomy places the organism in Eukaryota, Metazoa, Chordata, Aves, Piciformes, Lybiidae. The transcript is spliced from 5 exons.